CGCAUCGUGUACCCGCGGUGCUGAUAUUACAAUCACGCCACCGCGCGUGAUUGCAAGCUUUUCUUUUUGUCGAUGUUGCUGUUGCCAAAGUGCCCAUAAAUGUGAUUGUGUUGGUUGUGCAUCGCGGAGUGUGAUUCGUUUGUGCCGAAUGGUUUUGGUUAUUUUGUUGGCAUGACGGUGAAUGUCAUGACGAUACGCUGACGAUUGCUGAGUAUUAUUCCUUCGAAUCAUGGUGCAUUGCUCUUGUCAACUUCAUUGAGGCUUCUUUCUUUUUCGCAGCCGCGCCGACCAAGGGACAAGAAAUGAUUUUGCUGGCUGCUCGCGUCUGCGGAAAUGCGCGCGAUGAGCCAUUUUUGGAUUGAUAGCAAGAUCGGCGCCCUCGGCUUUUUUGCCUCCUCCACGGCGUGGAACAGUUGGCGUGCCUCGUUGCCGAUAAGACGUGAGAAGAGAGAAGGAGUUUGGCGAGUGUAGUGCCGUUAAGCUACUUACGGUGCGUCGUUCGCGGCUCGUUCCGACUCGGCAAACAACUGAGUUCCUUCUACUACCACGCCGGUCCAAGUUGUGCAACGCCUUGACGAAGUAGUGCGGGACCGUCGACUUCGACAGACAUGCUCCGCAACUCUGGUUAAGCAUCUCAAGAUAAGAACGACCCUCUCGCUGCGGUGACAAACAGCGCACAAGACAGAGAGUCAGAGAGGGAGGGAGGAGCAGCGAGAGAAGUCUUAAUUGAAAAGCGACGCGCGAGUUACCUCGUUAGCGGCAGUCGAAGAUGACAUUGAGCGGAGGACGACGACGAGGACGCUGAUUGAAAACGGGACGGAGAGGCCCGCGGAGUGGGAAUCAGCGCUGAGCGCACGGCGGAGCCGCACAUUUACACGAAAAGAGUGAGAAAUGGCGCACAAGGGAUUGGCUUGGCUCGCGGUGGCGCCGCUGCUGUUUGCUCUCGCCCACUCGCAGCUCACCUGGACGCCCAUUUACGUCGGCUA
Phymastichus coffea is the source of this 986-nucleotide long non-coding RNA. RefSeq lists it as uncharacterized. Lineage: Eukaryota; Metazoa; Arthropoda; Insecta; Hymenoptera; Eulophidae. The record is from RefSeq and is a predicted model, not a curated record. The transcript is spliced from 4 exons.